Molecule: ribosomal RNA, 791 nt
Filed under: uncultured archaeon
Lineage: Archaea
Description: bacterial SSU rRNA
Rfam family: Archaeal small subunit ribosomal RNA
Source: RNAcentral
ACGGCUCAGUAACACGUGGAUAACAUGCCCUAAGGUGGGGGAUAAUCUCGGGAAACUGAGGAUAAUACCCCAUAGGUCUGAUCUGCUGGAAUGCUUUCAGGCCGAAAACUCCGGUGCCUUAGGAUUGGUCUACGGUCUAUCAGGCAGUAGUGGGUGUAACGGACCCACUAGCCCGUGACGGAUAUGGGCCUUGAGAGAGGGAGCCCAGAGAUGGACUCUGAGACAUGAGUCCAGGCCCUACGGGGCGCAGCAGUCGCGAAAACUUCGCAAUGGGGGCAACCCCGACGAGGGAAUUCCAAGUGCCAGCACUUUGUGUUGGCUGUUCUCCUGUCUAAAAAACAGGAGGAGUAAGGGGCGGGUAAGACGGGUGCCAGCCGCCGCGGUAAUACCCGCGCCCCUAGUGGUGGUCGAUAUUAUUGAGCCUAAAACGUCCGUAGCCGGUCUUUUAAAUCCUUGGGUAAAUCGGGCAGCUUAACUGUCCGAAGUCCGGGGAGACUGGAAGACUUGGGACCGGGAGAGGUCAGAGGUACUUCUGGGGUAGGGGUAAAAUCCUGUAAUCCUGGAAGGACCACCGGUGGCGAAGGCGUCUGACUAGAACGGAUCCGACGGUGAGGGACGAAGCCCUGGGGCGCAAACGGGAUUAGAUACCCCGGUAGUCCAGGGUGUAAACGCUGCGGGCUUGGUGUUGGGGGUCCUUAGUGGGCGCCCAGUGCCGGAGAGAAGUUGUUAAGCCUGCUGCUUGGGGAGUAUGUCCGCAAGGAUGAAACUUAAAGGAAUUGGCGGGGGAGCAC